Molecule: transfer RNA, 71 nt
Filed under: Sphaerodactylus townsendi
Lineage: Eukaryota; Metazoa; Chordata; Lepidosauria; Squamata; Sphaerodactylidae
Description: tRNA-Val
Source: RNAcentral
GGGAUGUGACUCAGUGGUUGAGCACCUACUCAACAUGUAGAAGGUCCCAGGUUUAAUCCCCAGCAUCUCCA